UGGCAGCGCAGGUGACGCUGGGGUCGACUUGACUGCUCGGUCGGUAUGUCAGGGAAUUUUAAGAAUUUUGGAAUUUCAUGGACGUGUGGUACAUAAUUAACAUUUAUGGGAGAUUCUGUGGGUGUCAUGUUUGAAACAAUGCACGUGAAUAUUGUCCAAGGGAGGCAAGUGACAGGAAAUUGUUAGAGACAUAAGUGUAGGAUUCCGAGGGGGACAUUUGCUGCAGGAUUUUUUUUGAGCUUCCAAGAUCAUGCUUGUAAGCUGCAAGCACAAGGAGCUUUUUUAAUGGAAAUCGCAUUUUCGCCCCUGUGAAAGGUGCUCUCCUUGAUGAGUUGUUCUCAGAUAACCAAUUGUCCAUGUGAAUUUCCUCGAUUUUACUUGAAAACUGUCAGGUAAAUGAGUUCUGGUAUAAAACUGAAGGUUCACAAACCCUUCAUGCAUCUCGACGUGGACAAGGGUUCAUAUAAUCGAUUCACCAACUGUUACUAUGGAAUUCAAACAAUAGCAAAGAAUUCUCUAUUGUCUCGAGAGUUCUGUUCUUCGAAAGAGCUUCAAGAAUCAUUGGGUUGUUGAAUAAAUGAAGUCAUUGAUUUCAUAAUCAUUUUAUCCAAUACAAGAUAAUAAAAUA
Molecule: long non-coding RNA, 628 nt
Organism: Diachasmimorpha longicaudata
Lineage: Eukaryota; Metazoa; Arthropoda; Insecta; Hymenoptera; Braconidae
Exons: 2
Source: RefSeq, a predicted model, not a curated record